RNAcentral lists this ribosomal RNA (522 nucleotides) under uncultured bacterium. RNAcentral's name for it is "bacterial SSU rRNA". It matches the Rfam family "Bacterial small subunit ribosomal RNA", at positions 988 to 1509 of the family's 1533-position model. The record is from RNAcentral.
CCAGAGAAUUUAGCAGAGAUGCUUUAGUGCCUUCGGGAACUCUGAGACAGGUGCUGCAUGGCUGUCGUCAGCUCGUGUUGUGAAAUGUUGGGUUAAGUCCCGCAACGAGCGCAACCCUUAUCCUUUGUUGCCAGCACGUAAUGGUGGGAACUCAAAGGAGACUGCCGGUGAUAGACCGGAGGAAGGUGGGGAUGACGUCAAGUCAUCAUGGCCCUUACGAGUAGGGCUACACACGUGCUACAAUGGCGCAUACAAAGAGAAGCGACCUCGCGAGAGCAAGCGGACCUCAUAAAGUGCGUCGUAGUCCGGAUUGGAGUCUGCAACUCGACUCCAUGAAGUCGGAAUCGCUAGUAAUCGUAAAUCAGAAUGUUACGGUGAAUACGUUCCCGGGCCUUGUACACACCGCCCGUCACACCAUGGGAGUGGGUUGCAAAAGAAGUAGAUAGCUUAACCUUCGGGAGGGCGUUUACCACUUUGUGAUUCAUGACUGGGGUGAAGUCGUAACAAGGUAAGCGUAGUGCU